UACGAAGGGGGCUAGCGUUGUUCGGAAUCACUGGGCGUAAAGGGCGCGUAGGCGGCCGAUCAAGUCGGGGGUGAAAGCCUGUGGCUCAACCACAGAAUUGCCUUCGAUACUGUUUGGCUUGAGACCGGAAGAGGUUAGUGGAACUGCGAGUGUAGAGGUGAAAUUCGUAGAUAUUCGCAAGAACACCAGUGGCGAAGGCGGCUGACUGGUCCGGUUCUGACGCUGAGGCGCGAAAGCGUGGGGGGCAAACAGG
Molecule: ribosomal RNA, 253 nt
Filed under: uncultured bacterium
Lineage: Bacteria
Description: partial 16S ribosomal RNA
Rfam family: Bacterial small subunit ribosomal RNA
Source: RNAcentral